GGGUUCGAUUCUGGCUCAGAUUGAACGCUGGCGGGAUGCUUUACACAUGCAAGUCGAACGGCAGCACGGACUUCGGUCUGGUGGCGAGUGGCGAACGGGUGAGUAAUGUAUCCGGAACGUGCCUAGUAGCGGGGGAUAACUACGCGAAAGCGUAGCUAAUACCACAUACGCCCUUCGGGGGAAAGCGGGGGACCUUCGGGCCUCGCACUAUUAGAGCGGCCGAUAUCGGAUUAGCUAGUUGGGUGGGGUAACGGCUCGCAAGGCGCGACGAUCCGUAGCUGGUUUGAGAGGACGACCAGCCACACUGGGACUGAGACGGCCCAGACUCCUACGGGAGGCAGCAGUGAGGAAUUUUGGACAAUGGGGAAACCCUGAUCCUUCCCAUCCGCGUGUGCGAUGAAGGCCUUCGGGUUGUAAAGCACUUUUUGGCAGGAAAGAAACGGCACAGGAUAAUACCCCGUGCAACUGACAACCACCUGCAGAAUAAAGCACCGGCUAACUACGUGCCAGCAGCCGCGGUAAUACGUGGGGUGCAAGCGUUAAUCGGAAUUACUGGGCGUAAAGCGUGCGCGAGCGGUUCGGAAAAGAAAGAUGUGAAAUCCCAGAGCUUAACUUUGGAACUGCAUUUUUAACUACCGAGCUAGAGAGUGUGUCAGAGGGAGGUGGAAUUCCGCGUGUAGCAGUGAAAUGCGUAGAUAUGCGGAGGAACACCGAUGGCGAAGGCAGCCUCUGAAGUUAACACUGACACUCAUGCACGAAAGCGUGGGGAGCAAACGGGAUUAGAUACCCUGGUAGUCCACUUCAACGUGUCAACUGGCUGUUAUUGGGGCCUUCGGGCCUUGGUAGCGCAGCUAACGCGUGAAGUUGACCGCCUGCAAGAGAUACGGUCGCAAGAUUAAAGCUCAAAGGAAUUGACGGGGACCCGCACAAGCGGUGGAUGAUGUGGAUUAAUUCGAUGCAACGCGAAAAACCUUAUACUGCCGGCAUGUCUGGAAUCCCGAAGAGAUUUGGGAGUGCUCGCAAGAGAACCGGAACACAGGUGCUGCAUGGCUGUCGUCAGCUCGUGUCGUGAGAUGUUGGGUUAAGUCCCGCAACGAGCGCAACCCUUGUCAUUAGUUGCUACGAAAGGGGCACUCUAAUGAGACUGCCGGUGACAAACCGGAGGAAGGUGGGGAUGACGUCAAGUCCUCAUGGCCCUUAUGGGUAGGGCUUCGCACGUCAUACAAUGGUCGGGACAGAGGGUCGCCAACCCGCGAGGAGCCAAUCCAGAAACCCGAUCGUAGUCCGGAUCGCAGUCUGCAACUCGACUGCGUGAAGUCGGAAUCGCUAAAUAAUCGCGGAUCAGCAUGUCGCGGUGAAUACGUUCGGUCUGUCCCGCACCCUUACGUCACACCAUGGGAGUGGGUUUUACCAGAAGUAGUUAGCCUAACCGUAAGGAGGGCGAUUACCACGGUAGGAUUCAUGACUGGGGUGAAGUCGUA
This 1481-nucleotide ribosomal RNA is filed under the name uncultured Bordetella sp. RNAcentral's name for it is "partial 16S-23S ribosomal RNA intergenic spacer". It matches the Rfam family "Bacterial small subunit ribosomal RNA". Lineage: Bacteria; Pseudomonadati; Pseudomonadota; Betaproteobacteria; Burkholderiales; Alcaligenaceae. The record is from RNAcentral.